Molecule: unclassified non-coding RNA, 350 nt
Filed under: uncultured fungus
Lineage: Eukaryota; Fungi
Description: partial contains small subunit ribosomal RNA, internal transcribed spacer 1, and 5.8S ribosomal RNA
Rfam family: Eukaryotic small subunit ribosomal RNA (bases 1-73)
Source: RNAcentral
UCAAACUUGGUCAUUUAGAGGAAGUAAAAGUCGUAACAAGGUUUCCGUAGGUGAACCUGCGGAAGGAUCAUUAUUGAAUAAAUUUGAACAGGUUGUUGCUGGCCUAUUGGGUAUGUGCACACUUGUCAUUUUUAUUUUCUCCAAACUUGUGCAUAUAUUGUAGUCUUUGGAAAGGAUUUUAUCAAUAGAUUGUUUGAGAAUUGCUGUGCUUAAAAAAGUUCAGCUCUGUCUUGUAUUUCCAAAGUCUAUAUUAUUAUUACAAACUAUAAACUUUAGGAUGUUGUAAAAAUAAAAUCUUUACAACUUUCAGCAACGGAUCUCUUGGCUCUUGCAUCGAUGAAGAACGCAGC